CCCCUCCUCCCAUCAGCCUGGCUUUUGGGAUGUGAGUGGUGGGCUCUCCUGGCUGGGCCGGCCCACGAGCGCAUGAACGUCCGAAGCUGUCGAGUGUAGGCUGGGCCGGGGGUUGGACGCUGACAUCUGGUAUCGGAGCCCGGUUUGGCCCAUGCCUGCCUUGGGGGGCUUACCAAGGGGGGUGGGAUGUCAGGGGCCGGUAGUCAGCGCCCCGGCUUUAGUACCACAUCGGCUAGCCAAGGGGGCCGUGAGCAGCUUAUAAGGGAGAGUCCCCCUCCUCCCAUCAGCCUGGCUUUUGGGAUGUGAGUGGUGGGCUCUCCUGGCUGGGCCGGCCCACGAGCGCAUGAACGUCCGAAGCUGUCGAGUGUAGGCUGGGCCGGGGGUUGGACGCUGACAUCUGGUAUCGGAGCCCGGUUUGGCCCAUGCCUGCCUUGGGGGGCUUCCCAAGGGGGGUGGGAUGUCAGGGGCCGGUAGUCAGCGCCCCGGCUUUAGUACCACAUCGGCUAGCCAAGGGGGCCGUGGGCAGCUUAUAAGGGAGAGUCCCCCUCCUCCCAUCAGCCUGGCUUUUGGGAUGUGAGUGGUGGGCUCUCCUGGCUGGGCCGGCCCACGAGCGCAUGAACGUCCGAAGCUGUCGAGUGUGGGCUGGGCCGGGGGUUGGACGCUAACAUCUGGUAUCGGAGCCCGGUUUGGCCCAUGCCUGCCUUGGGGGGCUUCCCAAGGGGGGUGGGAUGUCAGGGGCCGGUAGUCAGCGCCCCGGCUUUAGUACCACAUCGGCUAGCCAAGGGGGCCGUGGGCAGCUUAUAAGGGAGAGUCCCCCUCCUCCCAUCAGCCUGGCUUUUGGGAUGUGAGUGGUGGGCUCUCUUGGCUGGGCCGGCCCACGAGCGCAUGAACGCCCGAAGCUGUCGAGUGUGGGCUAGGCCGGGGGUUGGACGCUGACACAUUUCGUCCGAACACUGGAUUUUAGAUGUGGAAUCUGUAAGUUUUUUGCCCAACUACUUUGUUCAG
This 1005-nucleotide long non-coding RNA is filed under the name Zea mays. Its description in RNAcentral is "long non-coding RNA (ZMAY_LNC004081)". Lineage: Eukaryota; Viridiplantae; Streptophyta; Magnoliopsida; Poales; Poaceae. The record is from RNAcentral.